CAAGUCGUACGCGGUGGCUUGCCACCGAGUGGCGAACGGGUGCGUAACACGUGAGGAACCCACCCCGACGUGGGGGAUAACACCGGGAAACCGGUGCUAAUACCGCAUGUGCUCCCCUGACCGCAUGGUCGAGGGAGCAAAGCCUUCGGGCGCGACGGGACGGCCUCGCGGCCUAUCAGCUUGUUGGUGGGGUAACGGCCCACCAAGGCGACGACGGGUAGCUGGUCUGAGAGGACGAUCAGCCACACUGGGACUGAGACACGGCCCAGACUCCUACGGGAGGCAGCAGUGGGGAAUAUUGCGCAAUGGGCGAAAGCCUGACGCAGCAACGCCGCGUGGAGGACGAAGGCCUUCGGGUUGUAAACUCCUUUCAGCAGGGACGAAACUGACGGUACCUGCAGAAGAAGCCCCGGCUAACUACGUGCCAGCAGCCGCGGUAAGACGUAGGGGGCGAGCGUUGUCCGGAUUUACUGGGCGUAAAGAGCUCGUAGGCGGCUUGGCAAGUCGGAUGUGAAAUCACCAGGCUCAACCUGGUGUCGCCAUCCGAUACUGCCAUGGCUUGAGUCCGGUAGAGGAUCGUGGAAUUCCUGGUGUAGCGGUGAAAUGCGCAGAUAUCAGGAGGAACACCAAUGGCGAAGGCAGCGAUCUGGGCCAGUACUGACGCUGAGGAGCGAAAGCGUGGGGAGCGAACAGGAUUAGAUACCCUGGUAGUCCACGCCCUAAACGUUGGGCACUAG
This 737-nucleotide ribosomal RNA is filed under the name uncultured Acidimicrobium sp. RNAcentral describes it as "bacterial SSU rRNA". It matches the Rfam family "Bacterial small subunit ribosomal RNA", at positions 58 to 819 of the family's 1533-position model. Lineage: Bacteria; Bacillati; Actinomycetota; Acidimicrobiia; Acidimicrobiales; Acidimicrobiaceae. The record is from RNAcentral.